This 1179-nucleotide ribosomal RNA is filed under the name fermentation metagenome. Its description in RNAcentral is "bacterial LSU rRNA". It matches the Rfam family "Bacterial large subunit ribosomal RNA", at positions 826 to 1982 of the family's 2925-position model. The record is from RNAcentral.
AUUCCAAUCGAACCCGGAGAUAGCUGGUUCUCCCCGAAAUAGCUUUAGGGCUAGCCUUAGGAGAAUAAGUAUUGGGGGUAGAGCACUGACUGGGCUAGGGGCCCAACCAGGUUACCGAACCCUAUCAAACUCCGAAUACCAAUACUUUGACCUAGGAGUCAGACUGUGGGGGAUAAGCCUCAUAGUCGAGAGGGAAACAGCCCAGACCGACAGCUAAGGUCCCCAAGUACGGACUAAGUGUAGAAGGAUGUGGAAUUGCACAGACAGCCAGGAUGUUGGCUUAGAAGCAGCCAUACAUUUAAAGAGUGCGUAAUAGCUCACUGGUCGAGUGGUUCUGCGCCAAAAAUGUAACGGGGCUAAGUCCGUCACCGAAGCUUCGGAAGUAAGUGUAAGCACUUACUUGGUAGGGGAGCGUUGCCUGCGCCUUGAAGCGGUACCGUAAGGAGCCGUGGAGUGCAGGGAAGUGAGAAUGCCGGUAUGAGUAGCGAGAGAGAGGUGAGAAUCCUCUCCGCCGAAAGCCUAAGGAUUCCUGAGGAAGGUUCGUCCGCUCAGGGUAAGUCGGGACCUAAGCCGAGGCAGAAAUGCGUAGGCGAUGGACAACGGGUUGAGAAUCCCGUACCACCAUUACACCGAUUGAGUGAUGGGGUGACGCAGGUGGGUAGGUCAUCACACAGAUGGAAUAGUGUGUCUAAGCGAGUAGGGAGUGAGGUAGGCAAAUCCGCCUCACAAGGAACCCGAGACGCGAAUGGGAGCGAAAUUAAGUAGCGAACUGACUGACCCCGAACUGCCAAGAAAAGCCUCUAGCGAGGAGUAAAGGUGCCCGUACCGCAAACCGACACAGGUAGGCGAGGAGAGUAUCCUAAGGCGAACGAGAGAACCCCUGUUAAGGAACUCGGCAAAAUGACUCCGUAACUUCGGGAGAAGGAGUGCCUGUAUGCUGUAAGCUAGGAAGCAAAGCGAGCAGGAACAGGUUGCAGAUGAGAGGCCCAAGCGACUGUUUACCAAAAACACAGGUCUCUGCUAAGUGGGAACACGAAGUAUAGGGACUGACGCCUGCCCAAUGCCGGAAGGUUAAGGGGAAGAGUAAUCCUUCGGGAGAAGCUUAGAACCGAAGCCCCGGUCAAUGGCGGCCGUAACUAUAACGGUCCUAAGGUAGCGAAAUUCCUUGUCGGGUAAGUU